RNAcentral lists this ribosomal RNA (441 nucleotides) under uncultured bacterium. RNAcentral describes it as "partial 16S ribosomal RNA". It matches the Rfam family "Bacterial small subunit ribosomal RNA", at positions 338 to 796 of the family's 1533-position model. The record is from RNAcentral.
CCUACGUGGUGCAGCCGUGGGGGAUAUUGCACCCUGGGGGGAACCCUGCUGCAGCGACGCCGCGUGGGUGAAGAAGCGCCUCGGCGCGUAAAGCCCUGUCAGCAGGGACGAAAAUGACGGUACCUGAAGAAGAAGCCCCGUCUAACUACGUGCCAGCAGCCGCGGUCAUACGUCGGGGGCAAGCGUUAUCCGGAUUUACGGGGUGUAAAGGGGGCGCCGACGGCGAUGCAAGCCAGGGGGGAAAGCCCGGUGCCCAACCCCGGGACUGCUCUUGGAACUGCGUGGCCGGAGUGCAGGAGGGGCAGGCGGAAUUCCUGGUGUAGCGGUGAAAUGCGUAGAUAUCAGGAGGAACACCGGUGGCGAAGGCGGCCUGCUGGACUGAAACUGACGUUGAGGCCCGAAAGCGUGGGGAGCAAACAGGAUUAGAUACCCGAGUAGUCC